UUACCUACCUUGACACGUGUCUUGGAACCUUAGCUGAGAGGCGAGGGUGCCUUCGGGAGCCAGAACACAGGUGCUGCAUGGCUGUCGUCAGCUCGUGUCGUGAGAUGUUGGGUUAAGUCCCGCAACGAGCGCAACCCUUGUCAUUAGUUGCCAUCAUUUAGUUGGGCACUCUAAUGAGACUGCCGGUGACAAACCGGAGGAAGGUGGGGAUGACGUCAAGUCCUCAUGGCCCUUAUGGGUAGGGCUUCACACGUCAUACAAUGGUCGGUACAGAGGGUUGCCAAGCCGCGAGGUGGAGCCAAUCCCUUAAAGCCGAUCGUAGUCCGGAUCGUAGUCUGCAACUCGACUACGUGAAGUCGGAAUCGCUGGUAAUCGCAGAUCAGCAUGCUGCGGUGAAUACGUUCCCGGGUCUU
Molecule: ribosomal RNA, 413 nt
Filed under: uncultured Thauera sp.
Lineage: Bacteria; Pseudomonadati; Pseudomonadota; Betaproteobacteria; Rhodocyclales; Zoogloeaceae
Description: bacterial SSU rRNA
Rfam family: Bacterial small subunit ribosomal RNA
Source: RNAcentral